CUCCAGAUUCAAAAGUAUAAGAGUUGAUCUCUUCUUGCGGAGGCCUUAACCAAGAAAUGGCUUCUAUUAACGUCCCUUCUUGCUCUUCAACAACUGCCAGAACAGCUCUCCCUUGUACCCAGGCAUGGAGAAACUUCAAAUUGUUCAAUGGAUUACAUGUAGUGAAUUCAUUUUCCACAAAUGGGUGCACAUUGAACGCCAAUUUCAUCUGCAUUAAUGGUACUAAAUCUCCCUUCAGUAUUAAGGGUGUUGGCAAAAUUCAAGCAGCAGUAGUAUCUGAUGAAGGUGACCUGUUGUCCUAUUCCAAUGGCAAUAAUGCUGCAGCAAAGAGGACUUUAAUUGAUAACAAACCAGUUGAAAUUAAAUUACAGCCUGAUGCAAUAGCAUUUGGAACCCUUGUAGCAGAUACUGCUACCAUCCUCAGUGGCUUCCCUAUCGAUAAUGAUGAGUUUGAUUUGGAUCGCCCCCCAGAGGAAGGUAGCAGGAUCUGCUAUAAAGGGUCCCAAAGCAAGGAAAGAUGGUAGUGGUUGUAGACGACGAAGACAGAGAAAAUGAAGGGGAUCUUAUCAUGGCAGCACAGUUGGCAACACCUGAAGCUAUGGCUUUUAUUGUGAAGCAUGGUACUGGAAUAGUUUGUGUGAGCAUGGCCGGGGAAUAUCUUGACAGGUUGCAACUCCCUUUAAUGGUUGCCCAAAAUGAAAAUGAUGAAAAACUUUGCACUGCAUUCACAGUGACAGUGGACGCCAAACAUGGUACAACCACAGGGGUUUCAGCUCAUGACAGGGCAACAACCGUGUUAGCUUUGGCAAACAGAGAUUCAAAGCCUGAGGACUUCAACCGACCAGGCCAUAUUUUUCCAUUGAGGUACAGGGAGGGUGGCGUUUUGAAAAGAGCUGGACAUACAGAAGC
Molecule: unclassified non-coding RNA, 909 nt
Filed under: Hevea brasiliensis (rubber tree)
Lineage: Eukaryota; Viridiplantae; Streptophyta; Magnoliopsida; Malpighiales; Euphorbiaceae
Source: RNAcentral